GACGAACCGUGCGAACGUUGUUCGGAAUCACUGGGCUUAAAGGGCGCGUAGGUGGUCUGUCAAGUCGGGGGUGAAAUCUUUCGGCUCAACCGGAAAACUGCCUUCGAUACUGACAGACUAGAGGGAGGUAGGGGUUGCGGGAACUACCAGUGGAGCGGUGAAAUGCGUUGAUAUUGGUAGGAACGCCGGUGGCGAAAGCGCGCAACUGGAUCUCUUCUGACACUGAGGCGCGAAGCUAGGGAGCGAA
Molecule: ribosomal RNA, 247 nt
Filed under: uncultured bacterium
Lineage: Bacteria
Description: partial 16S ribosomal RNA
Rfam family: Bacterial small subunit ribosomal RNA
Source: RNAcentral